UCACCUUCUUUAUGACUCCCUCUCUCGCAGCAGUAAACAGAAAGUAUGAAACCGCUCCAAAUUCUCUCCCUCUCGGUCAUGUUAGAGUUUUCUGCUCUGUUUGGUCACUGAGAAAACAAAAAAGGAAAAGGAAACUAAGAAUCUUUCCUUCAUUUUUUAAUUUGUUAGUCUUUGUAGUAUCCGAGCUUUAAAUUCAUCUUCAUUUUCUCGGGAACCAAACAGGAGCCAGAGAAAAAUUUGUAAAGAUUUGAGUGCUUCCUGUUUGUUUAUAGGCGAAAGAAAGUGAUGAAGUGUGGUUUCUUGGAGCUACAAUGCCGAACCAGAGGCUGCACUCAUGUUUUACAGUGAUUGUGUUCUUGGCGAUUCUUGCUUUGCAAGCUUGUGCUUCUACUAAUCCUCCUGAUGUCAUUCAUAGCACUUCAAGAUCUAUACAAGGCAGGAGUAACCCCCCCCCAGCUAAAGGGAGAUCCAUGUAGGGAAUCAUGGACUGGAGAGUCAGGAAUAUGUAAUUUUUUUUCCUCUGCGUUACUCUCAGGAAUAUCCAAAGCAAUCACUUUAGUGGUGUAGUUCCAACACAAUUUCAGCUAAUUCCCAAUCUAUGGGGCAAAUUAUCCUGCCUGGAAACUUCCUUUGGAUAAUGGAUCCAUUUGGAAAAAUUGUAAUGGUCCCUCAUCGACCGAGUCAAGUGCCAUUGAGAAUUAUCUCAAGGUAAAAAGGACACAAGAAGAAAAGACUGGGCCCUGGUGGAAAAGUAAGAUUGUUAAAAUGAAGGCUUUUGAAAGUGCUAUUGGUGACACUGGCUAUAUUGCUCCUGAACAUGAGGAACCAGUAACUGACAACACAAAGGGUGACAUUUAUGCGUUUGGAGUGUUGCUUUUGGAGCUAUUAACAGGAAGGAGGGGGCCUUUUGAUAGGUCGACUUUAUCCCCCCUGCCUCAACCAAAUUGUCGAAUAAUAUUCUGAUAUACUUGGUGCUUAUUUGCUAAGAAUUCUGUCUCUAACACAGCUCAAGACCGAGAAAAGAGCAAUCUUUGGUGAAAGGGGCUUCAUCUCGGCUGCAUGACAAUGAGUUUAAUUCAGAUGGUUGGUCCAGGCAUAAAGAACAGUCUCCUCCAAGACCCUCUCUCGGUUAAUUUGCAGAUGUCGUCUCACUGUGCAUUCAGUCUGAGAAGUUCUUCCGCCCACCUAUGUCUGAAAUUGUUUCAUCACUGACAAGUCUGCGGCAAAAAUUCACUGCUGCAAAAAGUGGUGCAAUGGAAGGUGCUGAAGUUGACCAUUUUGAGAGGUCUUUCCGUUCAACUAAUACCCGCUUCAUAACCUCACCAACACCAAGUUACAUUUCGGUUUGACUUUUGCAAUCGGUCAGCUGAUUCAGGAAAUGAUUUACUGUCAGAAGCAUUGUACGAGCAUGAUAUUUGCAAUUCCAGUUAACUGCUUUUAGUACAAGAUCCUUAGCAAUCAAGCAAUUGCUGCAUGGCUUUCCAUUACAUGUAAUAUCAGUGUUAGCAUAAGGAAUUAACCUCUCUGAUUCAUGUACUGUGAUUUACGGAGUUUAUUUUCCAACAUUAGACCUCUCUAACCUUUAAAUGUCUGAAAGUAACAGCCCGAAGCCAAUCGGAAGCUAAA
Molecule: long non-coding RNA, 1626 nt
Organism: Populus trichocarpa (black cottonwood)
Lineage: Eukaryota; Viridiplantae; Streptophyta; Magnoliopsida; Malpighiales; Salicaceae
Exons: 5
Source: RefSeq, a predicted model, not a curated record